GACGAACGCUGGCGGCGCGCCUAACACAUGCAAGUCGAACGGAGCUGCGAGAAGCUUGCUUUUCUUAGCUUAGUGGCGAACGGGUGAGUAACGCGUGAGUAACCUGCCCUGGAGUGGGGGACAACAGUUGGAAACGACUGCUAAUACCGCAUAAGCCCACGAUCCGGCAUCGGAUUGAGGGAAAAGGAUUUAUUCGCUUCAGGAUGGACUCGCGUCCAAUUAGCUAGUUGGUGAGGUAACGGCCCACCAAGGCGACGAUUGGUAGCCGGACUGAGAGGUUGAACGGCCACAUUGGGACUGAGACACGGCCCAGACUCCUACGGGAGGCAGCAGUGGGGGAUAUUGCACAAUGGGGGAAACCCUGAUGCAGCGACGCCGCGUGGAGGAAGAAGGUUUUCGGAUUGUAAACUCCUGUCGUUAGGGACGAUAAUGACGGUACCUAAAAAGAAAGCACCGGCUAACUACGUG
RNAcentral lists this ribosomal RNA (468 nucleotides) under uncultured bacterium. Its description in RNAcentral is "partial 16S ribosomal RNA". It matches the Rfam family "Bacterial small subunit ribosomal RNA", at positions 28 to 507 of the family's 1533-position model. The record is from RNAcentral.